CUAUUAGUAUUACUAUUACUAUUAGUAUUACUGUUACUAUUACUAUUACUAAGACUGGAAAUAGAGGAGUUCUGCAGAAAUUGUAAAAGUCUUUUGAAGAAAGAAAUAUGCUCUUUUCUCCGUGUCUUUCAAGUAACAUCACCUGUUUCUUGGGGCUCCGCAUUAACUCAAAGUAUAAGAUCAACCCAGAAGGGCAACAGAAAAUCUGGAGAACACUGUCUUCACAACAUCCAGGGUUCAAGACCUCUUCCACUGCAACAUACCAUGAAGAAAAUGAACAAUAACUAAGUGAAUGAUCCAGAACAAAUGGAGAAAGGAGAGGAAUUCCAGUGUAGCCAUAUCCUAGUUGCAAAGGAUUAUAAUAUUAUCCAAAGUCUCAAGUAUGUGGAAUGUCAGGUGAUAAACAUAAGGUGAAAUUACACCCCCAAAUCUUUAACACCUAUGAAAAUAAUGAGAGAACAUAAGAAUUUCAUAGCAACUGGAGAAAUAAGGAAAACUAAGCAGUAUAUCCAUUCUAUUCCUGUUGGCUUAGCAAAUGCAUGUGUGACUUCAGUUCUUGAUGCAUUUGCGUGUUAUGUUACACAUUGAUCUACCUAAGAAGUCAUCCUUUGAAUAGCACAAACUUCAACAUGGAAGAUAAGAUUUUCACACAUGGUGAGCUUGCUAUGCAAGUACAUUUUCAGUCUACGUUGAUCAAGGAUAUCAGUUUAAAGCUUUCCUUUUACAUUGCACCUUCCUCUGAAUUUGGCCUUAGGAAAAUACUAUGUAAACAGAAUGAGCUGGGCAGUGUUGCCCCCCUCUUUCUUCAUCCCUGAUGCCCUUUUUCUUUUCCUCAGAAUGUAGUAACUGAUUUAUAACACCAAUGCUCCUCCUUGACAGAAUCUCUGGAAAGUCUUCUUUUGUCCACCAUCUUUUCUUGGAGCAUCUGACUGGCAUCAAACACAAUUGUUUUGAAUAAUUUCUCUUUGUCUUCCCAUUCUUCUCCUUUUAUAGGGGAUCAAAACUUGGAUGAGUGUAUUUGUUGUCAUGUUUUUAGUUCUUUCUGUGUUGUCUGAUCGCAACUUUAUCAAGUAGGCUGAGACAAUGACACCCAAAGGAUCAAGUGGGUUUUGUAAAGGUCUGGAAGACUGUUGUAACCUGAUGGGCCCUCGGAGGCUUUCUUAACAUCAUUCAUUGAUAGAUUAGCAAAUCAUACACAAAACAGGUCACAAGUCAGGCAUGAUUGCACUAAGUACACAGUGAUUCCCCUGAAUUAUCAAAGUGUCUAUUUUUGGUAAAAACUUAUGUAAAGUCAGCAAGAUUGUAUGCUAAAAAUUUCUAAGGAUGUUCUCCUUUAUAACAGCAUUUAAAAGAGUCAAAACUUUGCCAGAAUAACUUUUAUUUUUAGAACGUUGGCAAUUAACCAAAGCAUCAUUCUGAGAGGCUUUAUUGAAUAAAAAAAAAUGGCUGAAUCUUGGUAA
Molecule: long non-coding RNA, 1460 nt
Organism: Rattus rattus (black rat)
Lineage: Eukaryota; Metazoa; Chordata; Mammalia; Rodentia; Muridae
Exons: 3
Source: RefSeq, a predicted model, not a curated record